This 476-nucleotide ribosomal RNA is filed under the name uncultured bacterium. Its description in RNAcentral is "bacterial SSU rRNA". It matches the Rfam family "Bacterial small subunit ribosomal RNA", at positions 29 to 507 of the family's 1533-position model. The record is from RNAcentral.
AUUGAACGCUGGCGGCAUGCCUUACACAUGCAAGUCGAACGGUAACAGCACUUCGGUGGCUGACGAGUGGCGAACGGGUGAGUAAUACAUCGGAACGUGCCCGAGAGUGGGGGAUAACGCAGCGAAAGCUGUGCUAAUACCGCAUACGAUCUACGGAUGAAAGCAGGGGACCGCAAGGCCUUGCGCUCAUGGAGCGGCCGAUGGCAGAUUAGGUAGUUGGUGGGAUAAAAGCUUACCAAGCCGACGAUCUGUAGCUGGUCUGAGAGGACGACCAGCCACACUGGGACUGAGACACGGCCCAGACUCCUACGGGAGGCAGCAGUGGGGAAUUUUGGACAAUGGGGGAAACCCUGAUCCAGCCAUGCCGCGUGCAGGAUGAAGGCCUUCGGGUUGUAAACUGCUUUUCCCCGGGGCGAAUAACCCCCUCGCGAGGGGGGAUGCCGGUACCGGGGGAAUAAGGAUCGGCUAACUCCGUG